GGUUGCUAUCAUACCAGCACUAAUGCACCGGAUCCCAUCAGAACUCCGCAGUUAAGCGUGCUUGGGCGAGAGUAGUACUAGGAUGGGUGACCCCCUGGGAAGUCCUCGUGUUGCAACCC
This 119-nucleotide ribosomal RNA is filed under the name Helianthus annuus (common sunflower). The record is from RNAcentral. Lineage: Eukaryota; Viridiplantae; Streptophyta; Magnoliopsida; Asterales; Asteraceae.